RNAcentral lists this ribosomal RNA (253 nucleotides) under uncultured bacterium. RNAcentral describes it as "partial 16S ribosomal RNA". It matches the Rfam family "Bacterial small subunit ribosomal RNA", at positions 524 to 776 of the family's 1533-position model. The record is from RNAcentral.
UACAGAGGUGGCAAGCGUUGUUCGGAAUUACUGGGCGUAAAGGGCGCGUAGGCGGUCAGGUCAGUCCCGUGUGAAAUCCCUCGGCUUAACCGAGGAACUGCCUCCCAAACUGCUUGGCUUGAGACCAGGAGAGGUGAGUGGAAUUCCCAGUGUAGCGGUGAAAUGCGUAGAUAUUGGGAGGAACACCAGUGGCGAAGGCGGCUCACUGGACUGGUACUGACGCUGAGGCGCGAAAGCGUGGGGAGCAAACGGG